UGGGGAAUAUUGGUCAAUGGGCGCAAGCCUGAACCAGCCAUGCCGCGUGAGUGAAGAAGGCCUUAGGGUUGUAAAGCUCUUUCAGCGGGGACGAUAAUGACGGUACCCGCAGAAGAAGCCCCGGCUAACUUCGUGCCAGCAGCCGCGGUAAUACGAAGGGGGCUAGCGUUGUUCGGAAUUACUGGGCGUAAAGCGCGCGUAGGCGGACGCUUAAGUCAGGGGUGAAAGGCCGGGGCUCAACCCCGGAACGGCCCUUGAUACUGGGCGUCUGGAGUCCGGAAGAGGUUGGUGGAAUUCCGAGUGUAGAGGUGAAAUUCGUAGAUAUUCGGAGGAACACCAGAGGCGAAGGCGGCCAACUGGUCCGGUACUGACGCUGAGGCGCGAAAGCGUGGGGAGCAAACAG
RNAcentral lists this ribosomal RNA (403 nucleotides) under uncultured bacterium. RNAcentral's name for it is "bacterial SSU rRNA". It matches the Rfam family "Bacterial small subunit ribosomal RNA", at positions 355 to 775 of the family's 1533-position model. The record is from RNAcentral.